CUAUUCAAUUUUAAAAUUCUAGGGUUUCACUCUUGUUUUGUGUACUUGAUUUGGCUAAUGUUCAGUUUCCUUUCAUCUUCAUCCAUUUAGGGCUACGUUCUUCAUCGAGAAGGGUUCUACAUUUCUUAGAAAGGGGUUUUUGGUCUAGAUUUUCACUCGAGAUUCAGAAAAGGCACAGAGAAGGGUUCGAUGGGAGCAAAUCUGCAGGAGCUCAGCCUCAAUCUCUCUGAAUCGUCUCAUCGCAUUGUACGCACAGAGAGAGAGAGAGAGAGAGAGAGAGAGAGAGUCAAAGGGAGGAGCAAAGCAGAGAUACACUAACUGAAGAAGGGUAUUUACCUGGUACACUACUUCAUUUGAUCAAAAGCAUCACUGGAGCAAAUGAAAAAGAUUUUACACUGGUGUUAGCUAUCCGGGGCAAAGUUAUUUCUUAUAAUGUCAAGUCCAAGACAUUGAAGGAGCUUCAUCAUUUAUCCACAGAUGAUCUUGAUGAUUGGGGAGCAAGUUGGUGUAAUAAUACUUAUCAAUUCAUUGAAAGCCUAUCACCUGUUUGAUCAUUAUCCUACAUGUUUCUACUUCUUUCUUCAGCAGAUGGUACAUGAGAUGGCAAUGGUUUCAGCUAUUCAGGAAGCUCAGAAGGAUAACCUUAGAAGUUUUAAUGAUUAUAUGAUGACAGUUUUGGAGGUUUUUGAAGUGCGAUGCGAUACCAAAAAUUACGGUGAAGAACUAGUUGGUUGCAAGAUAAAAGUUUGGUGGCCAUUGGACAAUGUGUUUUAGGAUGGCACUAUUUAUUCAUUUGACUAUACAGAAAAGGAGCAUAGGAUUUUGUAUGCUGAUGGUGAUGAAGAAAAAUUAAUAAGAUCAUCGUUAAAUGUUGCUUUUGAUGUUGAAAUACUGGGUUGCCAAGCUGGCCUUAUGGUAGGAAUAGAGGGUGGAGUGACUGUGAGUCCAAAAUUAGGCAGUGGAGGUAUGUGAGACUAAGGGUAGAGUGAAGUAAGUUCCUAUAAUUCGAACUCUUCUAUGCAGGUUUGUCUGGGCUAUAACUUUCUUAUGGAAAGGUUUUGGCCCUCGUAUCUGUUUGGAGAAGUUGUUUGAUUGUUCUUGGUAUACACAUUGUAUAAGGAAUUUUUUGUUGUGGGUUGAGUGAUGGGAGUGCUAUAUUUUCAGAGUGUGUUGUUUUUUGGCUUACUGUUAUCCUUUUAUGUUGUUUCUCUCGUUAACCUGUUCCUUCAUUCUGAGAUGGGAGUGUUUGAGGGUUGAGCUUGUGAGACCAUAUAUUGUGUGAGCCUUGUUGAUACGUCUGUUAUCACAUCUGCUGUGAUUUAUUACAAGCUAACUGUUUUCUCUGUAGGUCUUGGAGCUGGUGCCGUGUGUGAGAGAGAUGUUUGUUGUGGGUUGAGUGAAUGAGAGGUCUACACUUUUGAAGUGGUUUUCUCUUAUUCAUUUUCUUAUUCCUUUCUCUGCUCAGUGUGUUGAGCUUUGCAUGUCUUUGUAUCUUUAUGGGGUUUGAGUUUGUGAGGUUCACAUAGUGGUUUCUGCUACAGGUCUAAGCUCAGCUUCUUGUAGGUGGGCUUUUUCCAUUCUGCUGCUGCUCAAAGAUAGUGCUGGAGUGCUCAUUAUAGGCAUGAUGGGGGCUGUGCUAUGUUAUUUAAAUUUUGGAGAAUUUUUCAGAGGGCCAGGCUGGAAGAAUGCGCCAAUCUUUGAAGUAGUUCUCAGAUAAGUUUAUUGGUGUCCUUUUUAAUGCUGAUAUUGUACAUAGUUGGCCUUUUGGUUAUCUAUUUGAAGGAUGUAUUCAGUACAAGACUGCUAUUCCUUAUGGGCUGAAUCUGGGAUAUAUUGUAUUAUCUUUUGCUGUGUACUGUUGCUUUGAGUUUGCUGCUAGGCUGCUACUCUUCUACUCUGCUGAACAAAUGCUGCAUUGCUCUACUUUGUUGCUGAUCCGCUAUGCUGCCCUUUGUACUGUUGUGCUGCUAUAGGCAUUGCGUCUGUGCUCUGUGCUGCUGAGUAAUAGUUGUUAGUUGGUUGGGAGUUUAUGCUAUCCAUUGCGUUGUACUCAUCUCUUGCUCUUCCACUAUGCCGAUCACCAUCGCCGUCCAAAAAAAGGCACAGAAAGAGGCAGGAACUAGGAGUGGUUGGGUUGAGCAUGUGGACUACAAUUUUAUUUUUUUGGCUCUGGUUUUCUGUUUCUUAUAAUUCUAGUGACAUCUUCAUUAAUUACUGAUUACAUCAUUUUCUGACUAGGGAAGUAGAUUCUUUACUCAAUUGCUUUUUAGAAAUCCUUAAAUUCAUGGUUUAUGGGGCCAAUAGAAGUGUUACAUUGCUGUCUAUGUAUAUAUAUAAUUUUUUUGGGGAGUAAAAUCUUAACCGUGCUUGCUUUCUUAUGUUAUGUGCAUCCAGAAUUCAUUAUUGCAGAUGCUAAGCACAGUACUUAUGCCCUCACAAUCAUCUCAAUCAGAAGAUAUUUACCUUUCUGUGCUAUCUGGUGCUACCUAUGGAAGUGCUAUGCUUCAUCAUGUUGGUAUGUCAGUUCAAAUCUCUAGUAGCAAUUUACCUAUGCCACGAUUGAUUAUCGGAGCUCUUCUCACAGGCCUUUUUACAAACAAAUGGAUGUAGUCAUCUUUCAUGUAUCCCUUUUUAACACAAGACCUAUCACGAAUGAAUGAACUAAGGGCCGCCAUUGAGAAGAGUAGUGCUAUUUUUGACAAAGAGAAAGCACAAGAGUGAUAGUCAAAGCUAUCUGGCGGUGUUGCUGUUUUCAAGGUUAGAAGGGCUAGCAAGGCAGGAGUUGGAGAAAGGAAAGAUUGGGUUACAGAUGCUUUAAAUGCAACAAGAGCAGCUACGGAAGAGGGAAUUGUUCCAGAUAAUGGAUAAACUUGUAAAUAAUAUAGACUUUAAUUUGACUUGGACUCUUUAUGGGGCCAUUAAAUUAUCUUAUUAAUUUUGGAAAUGUUUUGUUGAUGUUUUAUAAUUUCUCAAUCAUUUCUUAAUACCUCAAGAAACCAUUAAAUUAUCUUAUUAAUUUUGGAAAUGUUUUGCUGA
Camellia sinensis is the source of this 3036-nucleotide non-coding RNA. The record is from RefSeq and is a predicted model, not a curated record. Lineage: Eukaryota; Viridiplantae; Streptophyta; Magnoliopsida; Ericales; Theaceae.